GGUUUUAUGGUGUAACGGUUAGCACUCCAGACUCUGAAUCUGUCCACCUGGGUUCAAAUCCCGGUAAAACCU
Molecule: transfer RNA, 72 nt
Filed under: Perkinsus marinus ATCC 50983
Lineage: Eukaryota; Perkinsozoa; Perkinsida; Perkinsidae
Rfam family: tRNA
About the family: Transfer RNA (tRNA) molecules are approximately 80 nucleotides in length. Their secondary structure includes four short double-helical elements and three loops (D, anti-codon, and T loops).
Source: Rfam by way of RNAcentral